AUUAUACAUGUCUGAUUAUAGGGAGAUCGUGGAUGUUUCGUAUGAUCUACACACAGCAUUAAUCACAGGAAAUGGCUUCCUGAAGUCCAAAGCAGCUGAAGUCUGUAGCACCCCUUCAGUCCAAAGCACCCCUUUCCUGAAGUCCAAAGCAGCUGAAGUCUGGAGCACCCCUUCAGUCCAAAGCACCCCUUUCCUGAAGUCCAAAGCAGCUGAAGUCUGGACUUCAGUCCAAAGCACCCCUUUCCUGAAGUCCAAAGCAGCUGAAGUCUGGACUUCAGUCCAAAGCACCCCUUUCCUGAAGUCCAAAGCAGCUGAAGUCUGGAGCACCCCUUCAGUCCAAAGCACCCCUUUCCUGAAGUCCAAAGCAGCUGAAGUCUGGACUUCAGUCCAAAGCACCCCUUUCCUGAAGUCCAAAGCAGCUGAAGUCUGGACUUCAGUCCAAAGCACCCCUUUCCUGAAGUCCAAAGCAGCUGAAGUCUGGAGCACCCCUUCAGUCCAAAGCACCCCUUUCAUGAAGUCCAAAGCAGCUGAAGUCUGGACUUCAGUCCAAAGCACACCUUUCCUGAAGUCCAAAGCAGCUGAAGUCUGGACUUCAGUCCAAAGCACCCCUUUCCUGAAGUCCAAAGCACUCUUUAACUUUAACUUUCUUGGCUUUGGUUCCAUCCAGCCCCUUUUCCCCAAAUUACCGUGUGAAGGAAAUAAAUUCCCUGUGGAAGAUAAUGUUCUCUGUCAUCCUUACCUGCACCUACAAUCACAUAACUCUUUCACUCCAUGGAGAGUUGAGUGUAGCAGGGUGUUGCGUUCCCUCCAAGAGGUGUGCGUAACAGUCACAUGCGCCGAAUACAACAGGUUACAGUGAAAUGCUUACUUACAAGCCCUUAACCAACAAUGUAGUCAAGAAAAAUACAAAAUAAAUAAAAGUAACAAUUAAAUAGCAGCAGUAAAAUAACAACGAGGCUAUAUACAGGAGGUACUGGUUAGUUGAGGUAAUAUGUACAUGUAGGUAGAGUUAUUAACGUGACUAUGCAUAGAUAACAGAGUAGCAGCAGCGUGGGGGGGGACAAUUAAAAUAGUCUAGGUAGCCAAUUGAUUAGAUGUUCAGGAGUCUUAUGGCUUGGCGAUAGAAGCGGUUUAGGAGCCUCUUGGACCUAGACUUGGUGCUCCAGUACUGCUUGCCGUGCGGUUGCAGAGAGAACAGUCCAUGUCUAGGGUUGCUGGAGUCUUUGACAAUUUUUAGGGCCUUCCUCUGACACCGCCUGGUAUAUAGGUCCU
RNAcentral lists this long non-coding RNA (1272 nucleotides) under Oncorhynchus kisutch (coho salmon). Its description in RNAcentral is "lncRNA (ENSOKIG00005000002.1)". The record is from RNAcentral. Lineage: Eukaryota; Metazoa; Chordata; Actinopteri; Salmoniformes; Salmonidae.